RNAcentral lists this ribosomal RNA (492 nucleotides) under uncultured bacterium. Its description in RNAcentral is "bacterial SSU rRNA". It matches the Rfam family "Bacterial small subunit ribosomal RNA", at positions 28 to 476 of the family's 1533-position model. The record is from RNAcentral.
GACGAACGCUGGCGGCGUGCCUAAUACAUGCAAGUCGAACGGACCUUGCUUGGACGGAGUGGAGUACUUGUACAAAGCGAAGACUGAGCGCUGGUUAGUGGCGAACGGGUGAGUAACACGUAGGUAACCAACCGAUAAGACGAGGACAACUCAUGGAAACGUGAGCUAAUACUGGAUGUGGUAUAGAGAAGGCAUCUUUUCUAUAUUAAAGGAGCUUUUGGCUUCACUUAUUGAUGGACCUGCGGCGUAUUAGCUAGUUGGUAGGGUAGAAGCCUACCAAGGCGAUGAUACGUAGCCGAUCUGAGAGGAUAAACGGCCACACUGGGACUGAGAUACGGCCCAGACUCCUACGGGAGGCAGCAGUAGGGAAUUUUCCACAAUGGACGAAAGUCUGAUGGAGCAACGCCGCGUGUGUGAAGAAGGUUUUCGGAUUGUAAAGCACUGUUGUAUGGGAAGAAUAAGGUAACGAGGAAAUGAAUUACUGGUGACGGU